GACGAACGCUGGCGGCGUGCUUAACACAUGCAAGUCGUACGGUAAGGCCCUUUCGGGGGUACACGAGUGGCGAACGGGUGAGUAACACGUGCGUAACCUGCCCACAACUUUGGGAUAACGCUAGGAAACUGGUGCUAAUACUGGAUAUGUGCUCCUGCUGCAUGGUGGGGGUUGGAAAGCUCCGGCGGUUGUGGAUGGACUCGCGGCCUAUCAGCUUGUUGGUGGGGUAGUGGCCUACCAAGGCGGCGACGGGUAGCCGGCCUGAGAGGGCGACCGGCCACAUUGGGACUGAGAUACGGCCCAGACUCCUACGGGAGGCAGCAGUGGGGAAUAUUGCACAAUGGGCGCAAGCCUGAUGCAGCAACGCCGCGUGCGGGAUGACGGCCUUCGGGUUGUAAACCGCUUUCAGCAGGGACGAAGCUUUUUGUGACGGUACCUGCAGAAGAAGCACCGGCUAACUACGUG
RNAcentral lists this ribosomal RNA (465 nucleotides) under uncultured bacterium. RNAcentral describes it as "partial 16S ribosomal RNA". It matches the Rfam family "Bacterial small subunit ribosomal RNA", at positions 28 to 507 of the family's 1533-position model. The record is from RNAcentral.